Molecule: ribosomal RNA, 939 nt
Filed under: uncultured bacterium
Lineage: Bacteria
Description: bacterial SSU rRNA
Rfam family: Bacterial small subunit ribosomal RNA
Source: RNAcentral
GAACGCUGGCGGCGUGGAUAAGACAUGCAAGUCGAGCGGGACACAACUGGUAGCAAUAUCGGGUGUGUUUAGCGGCGCAAGGGUGCGUAACACGUGGGCAAUUUGCCAUAAAGCUGGGGAUAACUCCGGGAAACCGGAGCUAAUACCGAAUGUGAACAUCCGGAGGCAUCUUUGGAUGUUUAAAGCUGGGGACCGUAAGGCCUGGCACUUUAUGAUGAGCCCGCGGCCUAUCAGCUCGUUGGCGGGGUAACGGCCCACCAAGGCUAAGACGGGUAGCUGGUCUGAGAGGACGACCAGCCACACUGGAACUGAGACACGGUCCAGACACCUACGGGUGGCAGCAGUCGAGAAUUUUUCACAAUGGGCGCAAGCCUGAUGGAGCGACGCCGCGUGGGGGAUGAAGGGCUUCGGCUCGUAAACCCCUGUCAGUUGCGAACAAGAUCCAUUCAAUAACACUGGGUGGAUUGAUAGUAGUGACAGAGGAAGGGACGGCUAACUCUGUGCCAGCAGCCGCGGUAAUACAGAGGUCCCGAGCGUUGUUCGGAUUCACUGGGCGUAAAGGGUGCGUAGGCGGCUUUGCAAGUCUGAUGUGAAAUCUCCGGGCCCAACCCGGAAAUGGCAUUAGAAACUGUGAGGCUGGAGGCUUGGAGGGGGAACUGGAAUGCUCGGUGUAGCAGUGAAAUGCGUAGAGAUCGAGCGGAACACCAGUGGCGAAGGCGAGUUCCUGGACAAGACCUGACGCUGAGGCACGAAAGCCAGGGGAGCAAACAGGAUUAGAUACCCUGGUAGUCCUGGCUGUAAACGGUGCACGUUUGCUGUAAGAGGAAUCGACCCCUUUUGUGGCGGAGCUAACGCGAUAAACGUGCCGCCUGGGGAGUACGGUCGCAAGAUUAAAACUCAAAGAAAUUGACGGGGGCCUGCACAAGCGGUGGAGUAUGU